RNAcentral lists this ribosomal RNA (256 nucleotides) under uncultured bacterium. RNAcentral describes it as "partial 16S ribosomal RNA". It matches the Rfam family "Bacterial small subunit ribosomal RNA", at positions 524 to 776 of the family's 1533-position model. The record is from RNAcentral.
GACGAACCGUGCGAACGUUAUUCGGAAUCACUGGGCUUAAAGCGCGUGUAGGCGGGCCGCCGCGUCGGCUGCUGAAAUCCCCCCGGCUCAACCGGGGAACGGGCACCGAUACGGGCGGCCUCGAGGGGGGUAGGGGGGGACUGGAACUUCCGGUGGAGCGGUGAGAUGCGUUGAGAUCGGAAGGAACGCCCGUGGCGAAAGCGAGUCCCUGGACCCUUUCUGACGCUGAGACGCGAAAGCCAGGGGAGCGAACGGG